GGGGAAUUUUCCCAAUGGGCGCAAGCCUGACGGAGCAAUACCGCGUGAGGGAGGACGGCUUUUGGGUUGUAAACCUCUUUUAUCAGGGAAGAACAAAAUGACGGUACCUGAUGAAUCAGCAUCGGCUAACUCCGUGCCAGCAGCCGCGGUAAUACGGAGGAUGCAAGCGUUAUCCGGAAUUAUUGGGCGUAAAGCGUCCGUAGGUGGUUUUUCAAGUCUGCUGUCAAAGCGUGGAGCUUAACUCCAUACCGGCAGUGGAAACUGGAAGACUAGAGUGCGAUAGGGGUAACGGGAAUUCCCAGUGUAGCGGUGAAAUGCGUAGAGAUUGGGAAGAACACCAGCGGCGAAAGCGCGUUACUGGGUCUGCACUGACACUGAGGGACGAAAGCUAGGGGAGCGAAAGGGAUUAGAUACCCCUGUAGUC
RNAcentral lists this ribosomal RNA (424 nucleotides) under Leptolyngbya sp. CYAP01. RNAcentral's name for it is "bacterial SSU rRNA". It matches the Rfam family "Bacterial small subunit ribosomal RNA", at positions 356 to 795 of the family's 1533-position model. The record is from RNAcentral. Lineage: Bacteria; Bacillati; Cyanobacteriota; Cyanophyceae; Leptolyngbyales; Leptolyngbyaceae.